UACAGAGGGUGCGAGCGUUGUUCGGAAUUAUUGGGCGUAAAGGGCGCGUAGGCGGUGCGGUAAGUCACCUGUGAAAUCUCCUGGCUCAACUGGGAGCUUGCAGGCGAAACUGCCGUGCUGGAGUGUGGGAGAGGUGCGUGGAAUUCCUGGUGUAGCGGUGAAAUGCGUAGAUAUCAGGAGGAACACCUGUGGUGAAAGCGGCGCACUGGACCACAACUGACGCUGAGGCGCGAAAGCUAGGGGAGCAAACAGG
RNAcentral lists this ribosomal RNA (253 nucleotides) under uncultured bacterium. RNAcentral's name for it is "partial 16S ribosomal RNA". It matches the Rfam family "Bacterial small subunit ribosomal RNA", at positions 524 to 776 of the family's 1533-position model. The record is from RNAcentral.